Molecule: ribosomal RNA, 547 nt
Filed under: Candida tropicalis
Lineage: Eukaryota; Fungi; Ascomycota; Pichiomycetes; Serinales; Debaryomycetaceae
Description: eukaryotic LSU rRNA
Rfam family: Eukaryotic large subunit ribosomal RNA
Source: RNAcentral
CGGCGAGUGAAGCGGCAAAAGCUCAAAUUUGAAAUCUGGCUCUUUCAGAGUCCGAGUUGUAAUUUGAAGAAGGUAUCUUUGGGUCUGGCUCUUGUCUAUGUUUCUUGGAACAGAACGUCACAGAGGGUGAGAAUCCCGUGCGAUGAGAUGAUCCAGGCCUAUGUAAAGUUCCUUCGAAGAGUCGAGUUGUUUGGGAAUGCAGCUCUAAGUGGGUGGUAAAUUCCAUCUAAAGCUAAAUAUUGGCGAGAGACCGAUAGCGAACAAGUACAGUGAUGGAAAGAUGAAAAGAACUUUGAAAAGAGAGUGAAAAAGUACGUGAAAUUGUUGAAAGGGAAGGGCUUGAGAUCAGACUUGGUAUUUUGUAUGUUACUUCUUCGGGGGUGGCCUCUACAGUUUAUCGGGCCAGCAUCAGUUUGGGCGGUAGGAGAAUUGCGUUGGAAUGUGGCACGGCUUCGGUUGUGUGUUAUAGCCUUCGUCGAUACUGCCAGCCUAGACUGAGGACUGCGGUUUAUACCUAGGAUGUUGGCAUAAUGAUCUUAAGUCGCCC